RNAcentral lists this ribosomal RNA (1283 nucleotides) under uncultured bacterium. Its description in RNAcentral is "bacterial SSU rRNA". It matches the Rfam family "Bacterial small subunit ribosomal RNA", at positions 94 to 1399 of the family's 1533-position model. The record is from RNAcentral.
AGUGGCGAACGGGUGAGUAACGCGUGAGGAACCUGCCUCAAAGAGGGGGACAACAGUUGGAAACGACUGCUAAUACCGCAUAAGCCCACAACCCGGCAUCGGGUAGAGGGAAAAGGAGCAAUCCGCUUUGAGAUGGCCUCGCGUCCGAUUAGCUAGUUGGUGAGGUAACGGCCCACCAAGGCGACGAUCGGUAGCCGGACUGAGAGGUUGAACGGCCACAUUGGGACUGAGACACGGCCCAGACUCCUACGGGAGGCAGCAGUGGGGAAUAUUGCACAAUGGGGGAAACCCUGAUGCAGCGACGCCGCGUGGAGGAAGAAGGUCUUCGGAUUGUAAACUCCUGUUGUUGAGGAAGAUAAUGACGGUACUCAACAAGGAAGUGACGGCUAACUACGUGCCAGCAGCCGCGGUAAAACGUAGGUCACAAGCGUUGUCCGGAAUUACUGGGUGUAAAGGGAGCGCAGGCGGGAAGACAAGUUGGAAGUGAAAUCCAUGGGCUCAACCCAUGAACUGCUUUCAAAACUGUUUUUCUUGAGUAGUGCAGAGGUAGGCGGAAUUCCCGGUGUAGCGGUGGAAUGCGUAGAUAUCGGGAGGAACACCAGUGGCGAAGGCGGCCUACUGGGCACCAACUGACGCUGAGGCUCGAAAGUGUGGGUAGCAAACAGGAUUUAGAUACCCUGGUAGUCCACACUGUAAACGAUGAUUACUAGGUGUUGGAGGAUUGACCCCUUCAGUGCCGCAGUUAACACAAUAAGUAAUCCACCUGGGGAGUACGACCGCAAGGUUGAAACUCAAAGGAAUUUGACGGGGGCCCGCACAAGCAGUGGAGUAUGUGGUUUAAUUCGACGCAACGCGAAGAACCUUACCAAGUCUUGACAUCCUGCGACGGUGCUGGAAACAGUACUUUCCUUCGGGACGCAGAGACAGGUGGUGCAUGGUUGUCGUCAGCUCGUGUCGUGAGAUGUUGGGUUAAGUCCCGCAACGAGCGCAACCCUUAUGGUCAGUUACUACGCAAGAGGACUCUGGCCAGACUGCCGUUGACAAAACGGAGGAAGGUGGGGAUGACGUCAAAUCAUCAUGCCCUUUAUGACUUGGGCUACACACGUACUACAAUGGCGUUAAACAAAGAGAAGCAAGACCGCGAGGUGGAGCAAAACUCAGAAACAACGUCCCAGUUCGGACUGCAGGCUGCAACUCGCCUGCACGAAGUCGGAAUUGCUAGUAAUCGCAGAUCAGCAUGCUGCGGUGAAUACGUUCCCGGGCCUUGCACUCACCGCCCGUCA